GGGUUGUGAGGUUAAGUGACUAAGCGUACACGGUGGAUGCCUAGGCAGUCAGAGGCGAUGAAGGGCGUGCUAAUCUGCGAAAAGCGUCGGUAAGGUGAUAUGAACCGUUACAACCGGCGAUACCCGAAUGGGGAAACCCAGUGUGUUUCGACACACUAUCAUGUCAUGAAUACAUAGUGGCAUGAGGCGAACCGGGGGAACUGAAACAUCUAAGUACCCCGAGGAAAAGAAAUCAACCGAGAUUCCCCCAGUAGCGGCGAGCGAACGGGGAGGAGCCCAGAACCUGAAUCGGCUUGUGUGUUAGUGGAAGCGUCUGGAAAGUCGCGCAGCAAAGGGUGAUAGCCCCGUACACUAAAAUGCACAGGUCGUGAGUUCGAUGAGUAGGGCGGGACACGUGACAUCCUGUCUGAAUAUGGGGGGACCAUCCUCCAAGGCUAAAUACUCCUGACUGACCGAUAGUGAACCAGUACCGUGAGGGAAAGGCGAAAAGAACCCCGGCGAGGGGAGUGAAAUAGAACCUGAAACCGUGUACGUACAAGCAGUGGGAGCACCUUCGUGGUGUGACUGCGUACCUUUUGUAUAAUGGGUCAGCGACUUAUAUUUUGUAGCAAGGUUAACCGUAUAGGGGAGCCGUAGGGAAACCGAGUCUUAACUGGGCGAAUAGUUGCAAGGUAUAGACCCGAAACCCGGUGAUCUAGCCAUGGGCAGGUUGAAGGUUGGGUAACACUAACUGGAGGACCGAACCGACUAAUGUUGAAAAAUUAGCGGAUGACUUGUGGCUGGGGGUGAAAGGCCAAUCAAACCGGGAGAUAGCUGGUUCUCCCCGAAAGCUAUUUAGGUAGCGCCUCGUGAACUCAUCUUCGGGGGUAGAGCACUGUUUCGGCUAGGGGGCCAUCCCGGCUUACCAAACCGAUGCAAACUCCGAAUACCGAAGAAUGUUAUCACGGGAGACACACGGCGGGUGCUAACGUCCGUCGUGAAGAGGGAAACAACCCAGACCGCCAGCUAAGGUCCCAAAGUCAUGGUUAAGUGGGAAACGAUGUGGGAAGGCACAGACAGCCAGGAUGUUGGCUUAGAAGCAGCCAUCAUUUAAAGAAAGCGUAAUAGCUCACUGGUCGAGUCGGCCUGCGCGGAAGAUGUAACGGGGCUAAACCAUGCACCGAAGCUGCGGCAGCGACGCUUAGGCGUUGUUGGGUAGGGGAGCGUUCUGUAAGCCGUUGAAGGUGGCCUGUGAGGGUUGCUGGAGGUAUCAGAAGUGCGAAUGCUGACAUAAGUAACGAUAAAGCGGGUGAAAAGCCCGCUCGCCGGAAGACCAAGGGUUCCUGUCCAACGUUAAUCGGGGCAGGGUGAGUCGACCCCUAAGGCGAGGCUGAAAAGCGUAGUCGAUGGGAAACAGGUUAAUAUUCCUGUACUUGGUGUUACUGCGAAGGGGGGACGGAGAAGGCUAGGCUAGCCGGGCGACGGUUGUCCCGGUUUAAGCGUGUAGGGGGUGUGACCUGGUAAAUCCGGUUGCAUACUAACCCUGAGGCGUGAUGACGAUGCACUACGGUGCAGAAGUAGUUGAUGCCCUGCUUCCAGGAAAAUCCUCUAAGCUCCAGGUAACAUUNNNNNNNNNNNNNNNNNNNNNNNNNNNNNNNNNNNNNNNNNNNNNNNNNNNNNNNNNNNNNNNNNNNNNNNNNNNNNNNNNNNNNNNNNNNNNNNNNNNNNNNNNAAGCCAGUCGAAGAUACCAGCUGGCUGCAACUGUUUAAUAAAAACACAGCACUGUGCAAACACGAAAGUGGACGUAUACGGUGUGACGCCUGCCCGGUGCUGGAAGGUUAAUUGAUGGGGUCAGCCGCAAGGCGAAGCUCUUGAUCGAAGCCCCAGUAAACGGCGGCCGUAACUAUAACGGUCCUAAGGUAGCGAAAUUCCUUGUCGGGUAAGUUCCGACCUGCACGAAUGGCGUAAUGAUGGCCAGGCUGUCUCCACCCGAGACUCAGUGAAAUUGAACUCGCUGUGAAGAUGCAGUGUACCCGCGGCAAGACGGAAAGACCCCGUGAACCUUUACUAUAGCUUGACACUGAACAUUGAGCCUUGAUGUGUAGGAUAGGUGGGAGGCUUUGAAGCGUGGACGCCAGUCUGCGUGGAGCCAUCCUUGAAAUACCACCCUUUAAUGUUUGAUGUUCUAACUCUGCCCCAUAAUCUGGGGUGAGGACAGUGUCUGGUGGGUAGUUUGACUGGGGCGGUCUCCUCCCAAAGAGUAACGGAGGAGCACGAAGGUUAGCUAAUCACGGUCGGACAUCGUGAGGUUAGUGCAAAGGCAUAAGCUAGCUUGACUGCGAGAGUGACGGCUCGAGCAGGUACGAAAGUAGGUCUUAGUGAUCCGGUGGUUCUGAAUGGAAGGGCCAUCGCUCAACGGAUAAAAGGUACUCCGGGGAUAACAGGCUGAUACCGCCCAAGAGUUCAUAUCGACGGCGGUGUUUGGCACCUCGAUGUCGGCUCAUCACAUCCUGGGGCUGAAGUAGGUCCCAAGGGUAUGGCUGUUCGCCAUUUAAAGUGGUACGCGAGCUGGGUUUAGAACGUCGUGAGACAGUUCGGUCCCUAUCUGCCGUGGGCGUUGGAAGAUUGAGAGGGGUUGCUCCUAGUACGAGAGGACCGGAGUGAACGCACCACUGGUGUUCGGGUUGUCAUGCCAAUGGCAUUGCCCGGUAGCUAAGUGCGGAAAAGAUAAGCGCUGAAAGCAUCUAAGCGCGAAACUUGCCUCAAGAUGAGUCUUCCCUGGGCCUUUAAGGCCCCUGAAGGAACGUUUAAGACUAAGACGUUGAUAGGCUGGGUGUGUAAGUGCAGCGAUGCAUUGAGCUAACCAGUACUAAUGAUCCGUGAGGCUUAACCUUACAACACCGAAGGUGUUUUAG
This 2895-nucleotide ribosomal RNA is filed under the name Serratia marcescens. Its description in RNAcentral is "23S ribosomal RNA". It matches the Rfam family "Bacterial large subunit ribosomal RNA". Lineage: Bacteria; Pseudomonadati; Pseudomonadota; Gammaproteobacteria; Enterobacterales; Yersiniaceae. The record is from RNAcentral.